This 593-nucleotide ribosomal RNA is filed under the name uncultured bacterium. Its description in RNAcentral is "partial 16S ribosomal RNA". It matches the Rfam family "Bacterial small subunit ribosomal RNA", at positions 355 to 1375 of the family's 1533-position model. The record is from RNAcentral.
UGGGGAAUUUUGGACAAUGGGCGAAAGCCUGAUCCAGCAAUGCCGCGUGUGUGAAGAAGGCCUUCGGGUUGUAAAGCACUUUUGUCCGGAAAGAAAUCCUUGGCUCUAAUACAGUCGGGGGAUGACGGUACCGGAAGAAUAAGCACCGGCUAACUACGUGCCAGCAGCCGCGGUAAUACGUAGGGUGCAAGCGUUAAUCGGAAUUACUGGGCGUAAAGCGUGCGCAGGCGGUUUGCUAAGACCGAUGUGAAAUCCCCGGGCUCAACCUGGGAACUGCAUUGGUGACUGGCAGGCUAGAGUAUGGCAGAGGGGGGUAGAAUUCCACGUGUAGCAGUGAAAAUGCGUAGAGAUGUGGAGGAAUACCGAUGGCGAAGGCAGCCCCCUGGGCCAAAUACUGACGCUCAUGCACGAAAAGCGUGGGGAGCAAAACAGGAUUAGAUACCCUGGUAGUCCACGCCCUAAAACGAUGUCAACUAGUUGUUGGGGAUUCAUUUCCUUAGUAACGUAGCUAACGCGUGAAAGUUGACCGCCUGGGGAGUACGGUCGCAAAGAUUAAAAACUCAAAGGAAUUGACGGGGUCAUAGCUGUUUCCU